AGAAAUCUAUGGCAGUACGACAUCAACUUUUUUGUUAAAACUAACAUGAUUACUUUGAAUUAUGAGCGAAAGUCAUUUACUUGAGAAUACUUCCAAAAGAACCAAAUUCAGAUUAUGCCUUAAAGGUAGGCAAAGUUGUGUACAUACCUGUUGGCAGGACUUCUUUCAAUAUCAGAUCCAUAACCGAUUAAAUAUGCAAGCCUGAUGAACUGCCACAUUCAUGGAUACACUUCAAUAUGUAGGUAACUGCUAGCAAAUUUUGAAUGCAAAACAAGUGAACUAAAAAGCAUGCUACUUUUUCUCUCUUCAAGUUUGGUAUACAAAAAAGAAUGGUGAAGAUCACAGGAAGAAAAAGAACUGAAAAAUGUAUCAAAUAGUAAACAUUGCACCAGAUCAUCAACACAGAUGUCCACCUACCAAAAGUACAUUUCAACUACAAUAUUUUCUCUUCCAAAGUCCAAACACCACUCUCGUAUAAACAUUCAACUACAGCUAUUUAAACCCAGUACUUCUCUUUCUUUAAACUUCUGAACAUCUGCUAUACCAAAAAACCUAAACUUCUAUUAUUGUAGACAACUACACAACUUAUAAAAAUAUAAGCAUCAAAGUCAUUUGUUAUCGGUUAUAUAAAUUAUACUACCAUUAGAAAAAUAUACACAACUCUCUUAAAUUUAUGGUUACUUUCAACAAAAAAAAUACAUUUUCUUAUUAGACAAAGUCGUUUUGAAUAAAUGCAAGUGUAUGGAUUCCCACAGCAGGAGGUAGAUAGCUUAUAAAGGAAAAUUUUAGUCCACAUAAGAAAAGAAAUCUAAUACAGCACAAAAAAUUGAAAAAAACUGACAAUGGGUAUUGUUCAUAAAAUCACAAUUUAAAAUGGUAAUCUUAUAGUCUCUUUCUUUAUUCUUUUCUACUUUGUUUGCUCAUUCACAAUAUACCAAAACCAACUCACCCAUCAAAAACUUCUCGCCCAAUUUAAAUUUUGAACUUCAAAGAUUACCUUCAAGUAUCAAGUAAAGCUAAUGAUGGUAAUGAUUAUCAUCAUAAUUAACAAAAGCCCAUGCUGUAUUAAACGCUUUUCAAUUAUCAUAUAAUAACCACGUCAUAAAAACCCAUAUAUUACAAAACUAAAUCACAAACCCAAAUCAGAACUUCAAUUUCUAAACAAAACAGUCUGUAAAAUUGCAACAACAAAAAAAAUCAAAAAAUUAUAGAAUAGAGAGAAAAGAAAGAGAUAGAGAGAUUUCUAGAACCAUUUUUAUCCAAAUCAAAAGCAAAAUAAUAUCAAUGAGUAGAAGCAAAGAAUGAAAGAUUAAAAAAAUAUUACAUACCUUGAAUUUUAUGUAACCAACCAGAUACAGUCCUAUAUAUGUAAAUCCAUUCUUAAAUUUGGUUAGCAAAUGUAAGAUAGAUUUUUAUGUACAUCAAUACCGAGUGCAGAAGGGGGGAAAUACCUCAUGCUCUCCAGGGCAACCUUCUGUAAACCGGGAUCGGAAUCCUGAAGUCUCUCCACAUACAGGUCCAAUUGCUGCUUCAGUUCCAAAUCCUCCUCCGACUAUUAACCCACAAUUUUAAUUAUAUUAACAAUUCCAAAGUCAACAAUAAAUUUUUUUUGAAAAAAAAAUCAACCAAUUUUCUCGAUUUUCUCAAAUCAACAAAACAAAACUAGGAACUUACGAUAUCCUCAUCCUUCUUGUCGUCCUUCUUCUUAGAGUCCUUUGAAGAAACUUUAAUCGAUGCCUCAUCUCGGAUGGCUCCGCUGUCGCUGGCAUUAUUUGGAACCGGUGCCAUGGUGAAUCGAGUACAAGCUAAAACCCUAGAAUCAAAGAGGAGAGAGUUAUUACAGAGAUAUUAGUAUAUGAGAGUUUCAUUUUAGC
This 1874-nucleotide long non-coding RNA is filed under the name Panax ginseng (ginseng). Its description in RNAcentral is "long non-coding RNA (PGIN_LNC004257)". The record is from RNAcentral. Lineage: Eukaryota; Viridiplantae; Streptophyta; Magnoliopsida; Apiales; Araliaceae.